UCCUAGCCCGGAUAGCAGUGGAAAUCCUUUUUUGUUUUUGUCAUUUCGACGAAAGGAGAAAUCUAAAACAAAAAAGAUUGAAACGGAUAGCCGGAAUAGCU
RNAcentral lists this small RNA (101 nucleotides) under Flavobacterium noncentrifugens. RNAcentral describes it as "Flavo-1 RNA". It matches the Rfam family "Flavo-1 RNA". Lineage: Bacteria; Pseudomonadati; Bacteroidota; Flavobacteriia; Flavobacteriales; Flavobacteriaceae. The record is from Rfam by way of RNAcentral.